UACGAAGGGGGCGAGCGUUGUUCGGAAUUACUGGGCGUGAAGGGCGCGCAGGCGGCUCAGACAGUCAGAUGUGAAAGCCCCGGGCUUAACCUGGGAACUGCAUUUGAUACUACUGAGCUUGAGUACGGGAGAGGAUAGUGGAAUUCCCAGUGUAGAGGUGAAAUUCGUAGAUAUUGGGAAGAACACCGGUGGCGAAGGCGGCUAUCUGGACCGUAACUGACGCUGAGGCGCGAAAGCGUGGGGAGCAAACAGG
RNAcentral lists this ribosomal RNA (253 nucleotides) under uncultured bacterium. RNAcentral describes it as "partial 16S ribosomal RNA". It matches the Rfam family "Bacterial small subunit ribosomal RNA", at positions 524 to 776 of the family's 1533-position model. The record is from RNAcentral.